ACGGGAGGCAGCAGUGAGGAAUAUUGGUCAAUGGACGGGAGUCUGAACCAGCCAAGUAGCGUGAGGGAUGACGGCCAUAUGGUUGUAAACCUCUUUUGCGAGGGAAUAAAGUGCGUCACGUGUGGUGCAUUGCAUGUACCUUGCGAAUAAGGAUCGGCUAACUCCGUGCCAGCAGCCGCGGUAAUACGGAGGAUCCGAGCGUUAUCCGGAUUUAUUGGGUUUAAAGGGAGCGUAGGCGGGAAGUCAAGUCAGCUGUGAAAUGUAGUCGCUCAACGUCUGCACUGCAGUUGAAACUGGUUUUCUUGAGUGCGUAAGAGGCAGGUGGAAUUUGUCGUGUAGCGGUGAAAUGCUUAGAUAUGACGAAGAACUCCGAUUGCGAAGGCAGCCUGCUGGGCCGCAACUGACGCUGAAGCUCGAAGGUGCGGGUAUCAAACAGGAUUAGAUACCCUGGUA
Molecule: ribosomal RNA, 453 nt
Filed under: uncultured bacterium
Lineage: Bacteria
Description: partial 16S ribosomal RNA
Rfam family: Bacterial small subunit ribosomal RNA
Source: RNAcentral